Molecule: long non-coding RNA, 688 nt
Organism: Drosophila montana
Lineage: Eukaryota; Metazoa; Arthropoda; Insecta; Diptera; Drosophilidae
Exons: 2
Source: RefSeq, a predicted model, not a curated record
UUUGAUGUAAAAUAUUUUGCUUUUAAUAAAAGCGAUUUGGUUUUGACGUUUACAAAAAUUCUGAAUAAAUUACUUGGCAAAUUUUCUGUCUAAAUUAGAGACAUUCCAUAGCUCGAACUUGGCUCCUGCUCUCAAAUGUACUACACUUCGUCUUUGCUUAAUGCACUGGGGCAAUAAAUAUCAAACCGUCAACAAACAAAUAAUAUGUCAUUUUUUCUUUCGCUAAAAAUAUGACAAUGGCAGAUGAACAAAUAGCACAAAAUAAAAAAAAAGCAAAAAUAGAAAAAGUUCAUUUUGAUAUAUAUGUAUUUAUAUAUCAAAAUUAAUCAGAUCGGAUGGUUACAGAGCGAGAGAAAAAAAAACAUAAUUUAUAUUCAUCGUAUUUACAUGCCAUGUACAGCAGCAGCCGCCUUCGAGGGUAAUAAAUAUGUGCGCCUAUGUUAAAUUCUGGCUGGCAUUGCGUAAUAAAUAUCACAUUUUAUUGGCCACACGCGGGAGUUCCCAGUCCAAACAAGCUGAGAACUUGGCAUAAAGAUAAGUCCGUUGGUAAUGAUGAGAAAAUGCGUCGCUUGGCAACCAAUGGAUACAUUUUGGGUUCGUCUGGCUGUCUAUUCUCGCGUAGCCAAGGUCACGCUAGCGUGUGUGUGUGUGUGUGUGUGUGUGCGGGUGUUUUGUUAUAUUUUUUCAU